RNAcentral lists this ribosomal RNA (374 nucleotides) under uncultured Glomeromycotina. Its description in RNAcentral is "eukaryotic LSU rRNA". Lineage: Eukaryota; Fungi; Glomeromycota. The record is from RNAcentral.
UUGAAAGGGAAACGAUUGAAGUCAGUCGUACCAGCGGGAAAUCAACCUUUCGAGUGGGGUUUUGGAGUUUUGAAGUGUGUUAAAACCUUUGAGAUUUCAAUAUUUUCGCUCUUUUGGUGUACCUUCUCGCAGGUAGGUUAGCAUCGAUUUUGAUCAUCAUAAAAGGAUUGGAGGAAUGUAGCUUCGAUCUCGUAUUGAAGUGUUAUAGCCUUUGGUAAAUGUGAUGAUUAGGAUCGAGGAUUGCAACGAAUACCCUUUUGGGCUAUCCGCCUGAUCUCUGAUACGUGGCCUUGGUAUUGAAAGCGUGCUUAUGAUAUUAAGGUAUUACGGUCAAAAGGUUAGAACGGAUUACAUUCGUUAAGGAUGUUGACGUA